This 528-nucleotide ribosomal RNA is filed under the name uncultured bacterium. Its description in RNAcentral is "partial 16S ribosomal RNA". It matches the Rfam family "Bacterial small subunit ribosomal RNA", at positions 355 to 874 of the family's 1533-position model. The record is from RNAcentral.
UGGGGAAUUUUGGACAAUGGGCGAAAGCCUGAUCCAGCAAUGCCGCGUGUGUGAAGAAGGCCUUCGGGUUGUAAAGCACUUUUGUCCGGAAAGAAAUCCUUGGCUCUAAUACAGUCGGGGGAUGACGGUACCGGAAGAAUAAGCACCGGCUAACUACGUGCCAGCAGCCGCGGUAAUACGUAGGGUGCAAGCGUUAAUCGGAAUUACUGGGCGUAAAGCGUGCGCAGGCGGUUUGCUAAGACCGAUGUGAAAUCCCCGGGCUCAACCUGGGAACUGCAUUGGUGACUGGCAGGCUAGAGUAUGGCAGAGGGGGGUAGAAUUCCACGUGUAGCAGUGAAAUGCGUAGAGAUGUGGAGGAAUACCGAUGGCGAAGGCAGCCCCCUGGGCCAAUACUGACGCUCAUGCACGAAAGCGUGGGGAGCAAAGCAGGAUUAGAUACCCCUGGUAGUCCACGCCCUAAACGAUGUCAACUAGUUGUUGGGGAUUCAUUUCCUUAGUAACGUAGCUAACGCGUGAAGUUGACCGCCU